CCAAAAGGGGUACACAUGUCAAACCAGAGUCAGUCACCCUUAAACCGUCCACCCGUACGCGUGUCAGAUCAGGUUCCAAAAAUCCAACUCUUUCUUUUUCCUCUCUCUAUAUAUUGGUCGCAUCUCUCCUCGGACUUUAAAUAUUUCCCAGACUCUCUCAACCCACCCAAGAAACGAAGUCUCUGGUCGAAUUCUUUAUCAGGAAGAAAUGGGUCGCUCAAGCCGCUCAAGCCGAACCAUUUAUGUGGGAAAUCUCCCCGGAGAUAUCCGUGAGAGUGAAGUGGAAGACUUGUUUUACAAGUAUGGUCGUAUUGUGGAUAUUGACUUGAAAAUUCCUCCUCGACCACCUGGUUAUGCAUUUGUGGAGUUUGAUGAUUACCGUGAUGCUGAUGAUGCUAUUCGCGGUCGAGAUGGUUAUAACUUUGAUGGUCACCGAUUAAGGGUUGAACUCGCACAUGGUGGGCGAGGAUCAUCAUCAUCAUAUGAUCGCUACAGCAGUUACAGUAGUGGAGGGAGUCGUGGUGGUGUUUCAAGGCGCUCUGACUAUCGUGUUUUGGUCACAGGGCUGCCACCUUCUGCUUCAUGGCAGGACUUGAAGGAUCACAUGCGUCGAGCAGGUGAUGUCUGUUUCUCUCAAGUUUUCCGUGAUCGUGAUGGUAUGAGAGGGAUUAUUGAUUACACCAACUAUGAUGAUAUGAAGUACGCGAUACGGAAACUUGAUGAUUCUCUGUUUCGCAAUCAGUAUUCCCGGGCUUACAUACGGGUGGAGGAGUACGAUCUACGAAGAAGCUUCUCCAGAAGUCCUAGUAGGAGUCCUGGCUAUUCAAGGAGUAGGAGUCCUGGCUAUAGCUACAGCAGCAGGAGCAGGAGUGCUUCUCCAAGGGCCAGAUACUCUCGUCGCUCUCCAUCUAGAUCUCUCUCAAGGUCUGUUUCAUCAGGGGCUCUGUCUGACUCCCCUCGUUAUGUUUCAAGAUCUGGAUUUUCGCGGCGAUCUGGGGAUUUUGCAUGUUAGGGACUUGAGGAUUAUGGUGCUCAAAUAUCAUGCAACUCUUGGUUGUGGGCCCUGUGGCUGCAUGCUGUUUUAGUUGAUGAGCACCUGCUGCAUAGCCUGGAUGGUAAAUUUUGUUAAUACUUUUUUAACUGUGGCAAGUGAUGCCCAUGGUGCUAACUUCCCUAGUGAAGAUGAUGGAUUCUUUCCUAAUGUGGAUUCUUGUCUAAGGUGGUUUUUGCAAAAAAGUAACAAAAACUAGAGUAGAAUGGCACUUCGUAACUCUGAACCCAAGGUAACGAUGACAGCAUCAUCUUUGUGUGGUUUACAACAGCUUCUUAGCUUUGCUGUUGGUAAAGUAGGAGCGAAUUGUCUUACUCUUUGCCCUAGCAUUGUGUAUCAUUGUCCUCCCACGUUGGAGAAGACCAGAUUUGAAGAAUGGGACAACAGUGAACGUGAAAUUAUUUUGGAUUGGUCUAAAAGAGUGUGCAUGUUAAGUGGUGCUAAAGAUUGCUGGUAGAUAUUGUUUCCUUGGUUUGAUUAUCGACGUCGAGGUAGCAUGGAUGCAUUUGGAUCAGAAGUCAUAUUGGACUGUUCUGGAUAUUAAAAUGGGUUUAUUUUGGAAAUUUUUGCAGAUCUCCAAGGAAAUUUAGAAGCCCAAUACUAUCUCGCCGCAAAUAUGCAAGCAGAAGUCCAAGCCUUAGUAGGAGCCGAAGCAGGAGCAUCUCUGGAUCUCUAUCUCCUGUGAGAUCUGAUUGAAGCUUUGAUUCAAGCUCUACCUGGCUGCCUUUAAAUGAGGGUUCUACGGAGCAGACUUAGGACCCAAUCAUUUGUUCCCUGGGAUUUGGAUUAGUAAUAUUGUGUUGCGGCUUUUGCAAGGAACAUGCUGUCACCUUCAUCCCCCCUUCACAGAACUUACAUGACGUAUGAAUUUGGCCUGAUAAAUAUGUAUACCUUAUGAUGUGGAGAUUGAUUUUCGCAUUAGAACUUCUGAUUACUGUGUCCUCUCUUGUCGGCGCUCUCAUUUUCCUUCUGCAUAUCCUAUCCUUAUAUAUUAUGGUUGUCGUCUUACGCAUCAAUGGGUAUAUAUAGCGCUGUUGCUUUUAUUGA
Molecule: RNA transcript, 2098 nt
Organism: Coffea arabica (coffee)
Lineage: Eukaryota; Viridiplantae; Streptophyta; Magnoliopsida; Gentianales; Rubiaceae
Gene name: serine/arginine-rich splicing factor SR30
Source: RefSeq, a predicted model, not a curated record